Long non-coding RNA from Triticum dicoccoides, 1125 nucleotides. RefSeq lists it as uncharacterized. The transcript is spliced from 5 exons. The record is from RefSeq and is a predicted model, not a curated record. Lineage: Eukaryota; Viridiplantae; Streptophyta; Magnoliopsida; Poales; Poaceae.
UCUCUCUUCUCCAACGCAACGGUCGAAACACGGCGGCCGCCGAGAUCCCCGCCGCCUCCACCGGAGAGAGCCGGGGCACGCGCGCCUACCCUAGAGAGGGGUGGGUGUGUUGGGUCCGCAGGAGAGCGGAGUGCGCACCUGCUCGUACGACGGCGCAGCCAUCCCGCGCUCCUGGGCUCCCGCUUCGACGCCGACAAGGUCGCCCAUCUCUUCCCGCAGGAAAUACCAGUAGCCGGGCAGACAGAGAAGAUCACCUGAGUAUACUAUAUUGGACCAUGAACUGAAUGAUGCUAGAAAUGAAUUGGCUUCGAUGCUUGGCAAUAUACUAGUUUUUGCCAAGACUACCCCACUAAACGAAAAAAGUUACGUUGUCCGCUGCCGAAUGAAAUGCUAACAGCAAAAAUGGAAAACUACAGUGGCCACGCCAAGCAUAUAUAACAUUGGGGAGGAAAGCACCCCGCAUCAGGAUCACAUAAAGGAGUUAAAACGAUCAAAAAAGUCAUGUUCCCGAAGUUCACUUCCAGUUUCUUUCUCCAUAAUCUUCUGAUUGAAUUUAUGCAUUGAAGUUGAAUGAGAUGUUGGUUGACACGCACUGUAAGAUCGUGCUAGCUCUAUGUCUGCUAUGAAAUGUGUACUGCUUGGAAAUCUUGCUGCUAGUAUGUAUCCCCUCAAACUAAAUGAAUGAUACUGCUCAGCUUUGACUUCAUGAAUGAGGAAUCUUGGUCAUUGCUCUACAACUGCUGGGGCUUCGUUCUUUUUUGAUGGGACAUUUUCACUGAAUCAAACAUGGUCUUUGCACCAAGGCGUUCGAGAUAAAAUAAUUUAGUCUGGCAAACAGGUGCCGACGAGCUCCAUGUGUGAGUUGUGCCUGCCUAGUGCAAAAUAAGUUUAUUUGCAAAUACUGGAUAUUCAGAUUGGAAUAAAUGUGAUGGUGGAUAUUACUAGUUCCAAGCAUUUUUCUUCCUGAUGUUUUGCUAAUGCAGAUGCAACCUAGUACAGGGAAGUUUACAUUUUGUCAUGUUUUGAGUGAUGGCCAUGGUGCCGAAAAUCCCGCCACAAGCAUCAGAUUGCACUUUUUUGUGUUUAUAUAAAGUUUGUUUCUGAAUAAAUAUGGUUGGAACCCAA